Molecule: ribosomal RNA, 3031 nt
Filed under: Armatimonadota bacterium
Lineage: Bacteria; Bacillati; Armatimonadota
Description: Armatimonadetes bacterium (marine sediment metagenome) 23S ribosomal RNA
Rfam family: Bacterial large subunit ribosomal RNA
Source: RNAcentral
GGCAAAGCUACAAAGGGCGUAUGGUGGAUGCCUUGGCAGAAGUUGCCUAGGAAGGGCGUGGCAAGCGACGAAACGCCUCGGGGAGCCGCAAGCAGGCUUUGAUCCGGGGGUGCCCGAAUUGGGAAACCUGCGCCGGAGUGAUGUCCGGCCACCGCGGAGCCAAUACAUAACUCCGUGGAGGGAACCGAGGGAAGUGAAACAUCUCAGUACCUCGAGGAAAAGAAAUCAAACGAGAUUCCCUGAGUAGUGGCGAGCGAAAAGGGAAUAGCCUAAACCGUUUCCAUGUGAUAGUCCGUUGACGUUGUGGAGACGGGGUCGAGGGUGCCGGCUUGGCGGAGCAGCGGAUCCGCCGAGGAGUUACCAACCGUCCUUCUAGCCGAAUUCGUCUUGAAAGGCGAGCCGUAGACGGUGACAGCCCGGUAGGCGAAAGAAGGAUGGCUCCUUGGGCCGGCUACCCGAGUACCACGGGACACGUGAAACCCUGUGGGAAUCUGGGAGGACCACCUUCCAAGGCUAAAUACAACUUCUGACCGAUAGUGAACCAGUACCGUGAGGGAAAGGUGAAAAGUACCCCGGGAGGGGAGUGAAAUAGUACCUGAAACCGUAUGCCUACGAGCGGUCGGAGCACUAUGUUUGGACGCAAGUCUAAACAGUGUCACGGCGUGCCUUUUGUAUAAUGAACCGGCGAGUUACUGUCUGUGGCAAGGUUAAUCCCCUAUGGGGAGGAGCCGUAGCGAAAGCGAGUCUUAAUAGGGCGACCAGUCGCGGGCAGUAGACCCGAAGCCAGGUGACCUACCCAUGGACAGGGUGAAACCUCGAUAAUAUCGAGAUGGAGGCCCGAACCGGUGUCGGUUGAAGACGGCUCGGAUGAGCUGUGGGUAGAGGUGAAAUGCCAAUCGUACCUGGGGAUAGCUGGUUCUCCCCGAAAUAGCUUUAGGGCUAGCCUCGAUCGGUCAGUUGCGGGGGUAGAGCACUGGAUGGGCUAGGGGCGCUAACGCGUUACUGAACCCAACCAAACUCCGAAUACCGUAACUUCGCAGAUCGGGAGUCAGACGGUGGGGGAUAAGCUUCAUCGUCAAGAGGGAAACAGCCCAGACCGCCGGCUAAGGUCCCCAAAGCAGGCUAAGUGGUAAAGGAGGUGGCACCGCCAAAACAGCCAGGAGGUUGGCUUAGAAGCAGCCAUCCUUUAAACAACGAGUAACAUCGGACUGGUCGAGUGGCGCUGCGCCGAAAAUUCAACGGGGCUCAAGCCUGCUACCGAAGCCGCGGACCCGCCUUCGCCGAAAGGCUAUGGCGGGUGGUAGGGGAGCGUUCCGCGCUGAGCGAAGGGAUACCGUAAGGAGUCCUGGACGGCGUGGAAGUGAUGAUGCCGGUAUAAGUAGCGAAAAAGAGAGUGAGAAUCUCUCUGGCCGAAAGUUUAAGGUUUCCUGGGGAAGGUUCGUCCGCCCAGGCUUAGCCGGGCCUAAGGUGAGGCCGAAAGGCGUAGCCGAUGGACAGACGGUCGAAAUUCCGUCGCCAGUGAGAGAUGCCAAAGACACGAAGGGGUGACGCCGUAGGGAUUGCCAGCGCAGGGUUGGAAGUGUGCGUUUGGGCUUGCAGAGGGGCGGAUAGGUAAAUCCGUCCGCCAUAUACCUCGAGGAGCCUGACGAGGCGGAGGAGACGAAGCCGAAGUGGCGUUACCGACGCGGCCAAGAAAAACCUCUAGUGAAUCUCUCACUGCCCGUACCGUAAACCGACACAGGUGAACGAGCAGAGAAUGCUAAGGCCCGCGAGAGAACCCUCGCUAAGGAACUCGGCAAAAUGACCCCGUAACCUCGGGAGAAGGGGUGCCCUUGCCUUUCUGAGGACUUGCUCCACAGAAGGGUGGGGGUCGCAGUGAAAUGGCCCAGGCGACUGUCUAACAAAAACACAGGUCUCUGCCAAGCCGCAAGGCGAAGUAUAGGGGCUGACGCCUGCCCAAUGCCAGUCAGUUAAGGGGAGUUGUUAUCCUGAUGCAAAUCAGGAAAAGCUGUGAACCGAAGCUCUGGUGAAUGGCGGCCGUAACUAUAACGGUCCUAAGGUAGCGAAAUUCCUUGUCGGGUAAGUUCCGACCUGCACGAAUGGCGUAACGAUCUGGGCGCUGUCUCGGCGAGGGACUCGGCGAAAUUGUAGCCCUUGUGAAGAUGCAAGGUACCCGCGACUGGACGGAAAGACCCCGUGGAGCUUUACUGCAGCCUGGUAUUGGAUAUCGGGGUCUCGUGCAGAGGAUAGGUGGGAGCCGGUGAAACCUCGAUUUUGGUCGGGGUGGAGGCAACCUUGGAAUACCACCCUCGAGAUUCUGACAUUCUAACCCUCGCCCGCAAUCGGGUCAGGGGAAAGUAUCAGGUGGGUAGUUUGACUGGGGCGGUCGCCUCCAAAAAGGUAACGGAGGCGUCCAAAGGUUCCCUCAGUGCGGUUGGAAAUCGCACGUUGAGUGUAAGGGCAGAAGGGAGCCUGACUGUGAGACCUACUAGUCGAACAGACACGAAAGUGGGGCCUAGUGACCCUGCCGUAGCAAGUGGAAGUGCGGUGGAUCAACGGAUAAAAGUUACCCCGGGGAUAACAGGCUAAUCUCCCCUGAGCGCCCACAGCGACGGGGAGGUUUGGCACCUCGAUGUCGGCUCGUCGCAUCCUGGGGCUGGAUAAGGUCCCAAGGGUUGGGCUGUUCGCCCAUUAAAGCGGCACGUGAGCUGGGUUCAGAACGUCGCGAGACAGUUCGGUCCCUAUCCGUCGUGGGCGUAGGAGGUCUGAGGGAAGCUGCCGCCAGUAUGAGAAGACCGCGGUGGACGAACCAAUGGUGUAUCAGUUGUCCCACCAGGGGCAAACGCUGAGUAGCCAGGUUCGGUCGGGAUAAGCGCUGAAAGCAUCUAAGCGCGAAGCCCUCCCCAAGACUAGACCUCCCAUCUCAGCUUCGGUUGAGAGUAAGGCCGCAGGUAGACUACCUGCUUGAUAGGCCGGAGGUGUAAGCCCAGUAAUGGGUUCAGCUGACCGGUACUAAUAGGCCGAGGGCUUU